Molecule: ribosomal RNA, 425 nt
Filed under: uncultured bacterium
Lineage: Bacteria
Description: partial 16S ribosomal RNA
Rfam family: Bacterial small subunit ribosomal RNA
Source: RNAcentral
GUGGGGAAUCUUGCGCAAUGGGCGAAAGCCUGACGCAGCCAUGCCGCGUGGAUGAUGAAGGUCUUAGGAUUGUAAAAUCCUUUCACCGGUGAAGAUAAUGACUGUAGCCGGAGAAGAAGCCCCGGCUAACUUCGUGCCAGCAGCCGCGGUAAUACGAAGGGGGCUAGCGUUGCUCGGAUUUACUGGGAGUAAAGGGCGCGUAGGCGGACAUUUAAGUCAGGGGUGAAAUCCCGGGGCUCAACCUCGGAACUGCCUUUGAUACUGGGUGUCUUGAGUAUGAGAGAGGUGUGUGGAACUCCGAGUGUAGAGGUGAAAUUCGUAGAUAUUCGGAAGAACACCAGUGGCGAAGGCGACACACUGGCUCAUUACUGACGCUGAGGCGCGAAAGCGUGGGGAGCAAACAGGAUUAGAAACCCGUGUAGUCC